Molecule: long non-coding RNA, 1584 nt
Filed under: Oryctolagus cuniculus (rabbit)
Lineage: Eukaryota; Metazoa; Chordata; Mammalia; Lagomorpha; Leporidae
Description: lncRNA (ENSOCUG00000034873.1)
Source: RNAcentral
UUCCUGUCCUUUAUCAACUGUUUCCCUAUAGCACUUACUAAUGCCUGAUAUUAUACUUAUUGAUCUGGUUAGGUUUUUUUUUUUGGUUUGUUUGUUUUGCUUAGCUCCUUCAACAGAACAUGUUUAAUUCAUUGAGCCAAACAUUUACUAAGUGAAUGAAUUCAUUUUUGUAUCCCUUGCAAUAAUUUUUAAUUACAAGUCUGGAACAUAGGAACUAUUCAAUAAUGUCUUGUCAUAUCAUCUCAAUUAAUUAUUAUUAACUUGAGAUGUAAAUAUUUUUCUCUUUUUACAGAGACAUGAUGUGAAUUGUGUAAGAGCACCCAAAGGAGCAAAAGUUGGCUUCCUGAUCUCUGCAACUUUGUGGACUCUGUCAUUUCCACUUCCCUCUUGGGUUUCCACUUCUCUGUGCUGUGUCUGAGAUCUUGAAAUUGCUCAAAAGACAUAUAAGAAGUCAAGAAGAGCUCAGAUCAAUGAGUUCUAAGCUUUCAGGAACCCAGAGAAACACAGUUGGCAAGCUCCAAGUACUACAUCUUCUCAUGGUUAUAGACAAGAGUAUUCUUGCCACUUCCCUCCUCCAAGAGCUGUUCCAAAAUGCAUACUUUGGGAAGAGUUGGAGUUCUAAAAGGAUCCUGUAACAUCCAGUGGGCAACAAAUGUGUGUUGAAUGAAUGGAUGGAGUAAGCAAAUGAAAUGUUUCUCCUCGUAUUUCCCAGAAGCAUUAAAAGGAAGACACGACCCCACCUGGCAGAUGGACCUAACUUCCCUACCAGCUCUCCUAUUCCGAUGACUUCUGGAGGAGAGGGGAGUAAAGCAGAGAAAAUUGCUGUGAAGUUCAAGACCAAAGGACUGCUGGCCACAUGUGAGGCCCCUGCUCUGGCAGGGCAGCAGCAGUGAGAACGACUGGUGAGGCCAGUUUCCAAAUCUGGACUCGGGUUUCAGAUCAGAGCAACAGAAGUUAGGGCUGGCUAGGUAUGGGGGGGAGGAUUUCAGGGUAAAGCAAAGACUUCUACCAGAGGGAUAAGAGACUGGAGUUAGCAUCAACAGAAUCAAUGAAGCAAGUGAAGAAUUGCAUAGAAUGGAUUUAGGCAAGAGCACGUUGCGUGUGAGUUCACUUGGGGACUUCCAUGGUGUGUGAGGACCUCAGUGAGAAUUUUCUAUCCGUGAAGGUUACUGUCCUCCUGCAGGCUUUCUUCCACCAUACCUUCUAAAGGUGAAGACGUUUCUGAUCCCAGCUUCUUUUAGUAUUAUUUACACCCAUCUUGACCGUCUAUCAUCUCCAUCUUCUAAGACCUAUCAGAAAUGUCCCAAAUGGCCCCCAGCUUUUUCCUACGGAUGUCUGUAGGGAUGUCAUUAUAACAUCUGUCCUGUUUAGUUUGUGAUCUGUAUGUCCUCUAUUUCCAUCAGUAGUCACAGGUCUUAGGUCAUGUUUAUAUUACGAGUGCCUUGCAGGGCAGGCAAGGAUGUCUCCUCACAAUCUACUCAUGAAAGCCUUGGCAGCAAAUAGCACUGUAUCCCAACCCGGGGAAGCACUUCAUUGUUCUUCACAGCUAGAAGCCUGGGAAUAAAAUAUAUAUUAGAAUGUGCA